GAUGAACGCUGGCGGCGUGCCUAAUACAUGCAAGUCGAGCGAACAGAUGAGGAGCUUGCUCCUCUGACGUUAGCGGCGGACGGGUGAGUAACACGUGGAUAACCUACCUAUAAGACUGGGAUAACUACGGGAAACCGGAGCUAAUACCGGAUAAUAUAUUGAACCGCAUGGUUCAAUAGUGAAAGACGGUUUUGCUGUCACUUAUAGAUGGAUCCGCGCCGCAUUAGCUAGUUGGUAAGGUAACGGCUUACCAAGGCAACGAUGCGUAGCCGACCUGAGAGGGUGAUUGGCCACACUGGAACUGAGACACGGUCCAGACUCCUACGGGAGGCAGCAGUAGGGAAUCUUCCGCAAAGGGCGAAAGCCUGACGGAGCAACGCCGCGUGAGUGAUGAAGGUCUUCGGAUCGUAAAACUCUGUUAUUAGGGAAGAACAAAUGUGUAAGUAACUAUGCACGUCUUGACGGUACCUAAUCAGAAAGCCACGGCUAACUACGUG
Molecule: ribosomal RNA, 497 nt
Filed under: uncultured bacterium
Lineage: Bacteria
Description: partial 16S ribosomal RNA
Rfam family: Bacterial small subunit ribosomal RNA
Source: RNAcentral